Molecule: ribosomal RNA, 256 nt
Filed under: uncultured bacterium
Lineage: Bacteria
Description: partial 16S ribosomal RNA
Rfam family: Bacterial small subunit ribosomal RNA
Source: RNAcentral
UACGUAGGGUGCGGAGCGUUGUCCGGAAUUAUUGGGCGUAAAAGAGCUUGUAGGCGGUUUGUCGCGUCUGCUGUGAAAUCUCAAGGCUCAACCUUGAGCUUGCAGUGGGUACGGGCAGACUAGAGUGUGGUAGGGGAGACUGGAAUUCCGUGGUGUAGCGGUGAAAUGCGCAGAUAUCGGGAGGAACACCGGUGGCGAAGGCGGUUCUCUGGGCCUGUACUGACGCUGAGGAGCGAAAGCGUGGGGAGCGAACAGG